Molecule: long non-coding RNA, 1708 nt
Organism: Mesocricetus auratus (golden hamster)
Lineage: Eukaryota; Metazoa; Chordata; Mammalia; Rodentia; Cricetidae
Exons: 2
Source: RefSeq, a predicted model, not a curated record
AGAUGCGUUGUGAUUGACUUAACUUGGGAGGGGGUGGGGAUAAAGAGCCUUCAACACAGAUGCGCUCUGCUGAAAGUGGUGGCUUUCUUCUAUCUGGCAAGGGCUGGUUGUGCUCUGUUUGGGGCACGAGCAUUAUGGCAUCAAAGGAUGUUGUCUCAGUCUGUGACUUGAAGGUUAUGAGCUCGGGGAAGAGACAGUUAAAGCUUCCUCACGCCAGCGAGAUGAGUUGUACCACACAGCGCCCAUGCCAGGUCAGCAGUCUGGAUGGAGCUGAGACACUUAGCAGCCGUGCCAAGCAGUGCCAGACACCUCUGGAAAGCCCUUGCCUAGGACCCCGAAUUUAGAUUCAUGCCGCAGUCUGGGGAGUGUUUUGACGUCUGCCAGGCUACAAGGAAGAGCACACUGCACACUGCCUCUGAGACAGACAGAGCUCUCAAGGCUGGGAGUCUGAGGAAACCGGACCUGGGCAGGGCUGCUCAGAUAUCCAGCUUCUGUGAAUGGAGCUGCCCAGCUCACCAGUGGUCAGCAGAAUCCAGGAUUAUCAUCUCCAUUAUCUUGCACCCUACCUCUGUGACACAUGAAGAAACCAACCUAGUUUCCAGUGACACAACAGAGCUCAACGGAUGCCACAUUCUUCAAUAUCUGCAAUUUGCUUAAGAGUUGGAUCUGUUUUCUUUUGUAGUUCUGUAUCAAGACUCUGAUGACUAAAUCUGAAAACAGUAUUGAUAUGCAAUUCACAAAAAAAGCUUUCUGAGCUACCAUUAUGAGGUCCUUUUCUCCUUUUGUGGCCAAGAAUGUGUUUUCCCUUGCCGUUACGUCAUGAGACCCAAGGCAGAAGUGUCCUGACAACUAGGAGAUGACUCAGUCUGCUUCAUUUGAAAGCUGGAUCUUGACUGAGGGGAAGCAGUAGAGGUGAAGAGUCUUCCAUGGUGAAGUACAAGUGCGUUUGGGCCAUGUCUUUGGUUCUUGUUGGUGCCUCCUGGUUGCUGUUGGGUGAAAUCUAUGAAAUAAACACUUUGCUCACACACAGGGUGAUUGGGGGGGCAUAUUGAUCUUUAGUGCAUUGGUCCUAGGGACAUCAGUGAGCUGAUACAAUCUACACAGGAGAACUUCUGCUUCUACUAGAACCAUCAUUCAAUGCAUGUUGGAUUUAGCUCUAAUGCCUCCUGUCUACAGGGAGAGUGUAUUCCUGGAGGGACACAGAAGCUGAAGCAGAAAGCUCGGUUCUCCCUCAGAGUUUGGAUCAUUCCAAGCUACAUGGAAUUUUAUUCAAUUCCGGGAGGAGUGGCUCAAAACCUGACUGUGAUUGAGUGGAUUGAAGACAAUUAGGAUCGUAUUUUAUUCAACCAGGAGACAUGGCAGCACAGUGGAUUUCCUUCUUUGGAAAUAUGUCCAGUCAAUUCUGGUAUUGAAAGGAACGACAGAGAAGAUACUUUGGACAAGCAAAAGCAGAUGUGGACUUGGCUCUGUGAGCCUUGGCUGGGAGGGACCCAGCAUGGUAGUGAUGGUCUCUGAAAACUUCCAGACAAGCAAAUGUAGAUGUCCUUUGUCAGAUCCCUGGGAGUGGAUACUGCAGAAGUCUUCUGGUGUUUCUUAUGGAUAAAUACUUACAAAAACUGUUUAUUCCUAUAAUACAACCAUGCCGCAACAUGCUUUGUAACUUUCAUUUGUUUUAGCGGUUGCAUUAGUAACUUGGCUCUUGCCUGAA